RNAcentral lists this ribosomal RNA (433 nucleotides) under uncultured bacterium. RNAcentral's name for it is "partial 16S ribosomal RNA". It matches the Rfam family "Bacterial small subunit ribosomal RNA", at positions 37 to 507 of the family's 1533-position model. The record is from RNAcentral.
GGGGGGGGGGGGGGGGGGGGGGGGGGGGGGCGGGGCGGGGGGGGGCUUCGGGGCUGGUGGGGCGCGGGUGCGUCUCGCGGGGGUGCCUGCCCUUCGUUUCGGGAGCGCUCGCCGCUAGGGGUGCUCCUACCGGCUACUGUCUUCGGCCCACAGCUUUAUCGUCUUCUGAUGGGCCGGCUUCUGUUUAGCGAGUUGUUAGGUUAAAAUCAUACCAAGGCGACGAGCCAUAGCUGGUCUGAGAGGCUGAUCAGCCACAAGGGGACUGAGACACGGACAAGACUCCGAAGGGAGGCAGAAGUGGGGAAUAGUGGACAAUGGGCGAAAGCCUGAACCAGCAAUGCCGCGUGAGUGAGGAAGGCAUUAGGGUUGUAAAGCUCUUUUAACCGGGAUGAGAAUGACAGUACCGGGAGAAUAAGAUCCGGCUAACUCCGAG